This 861-nucleotide ribosomal RNA is filed under the name Viridibacillus sp. RNAcentral's name for it is "bacterial SSU rRNA". It matches the Rfam family "Bacterial small subunit ribosomal RNA", at positions 31 to 874 of the family's 1533-position model. Lineage: Bacteria; Bacillati; Bacillota; Bacilli; Caryophanales; Caryophanaceae. The record is from RNAcentral.
CGACGCUGCGGCGUGCCCUAUCCUGCAAGUCGAGCGAAUGAUGAAGAAGCUUGCUUCUUCUGAUUUAGCGGCGGACGGGUGAGUAACACGUGGGCAACCUACCUAGUAGAUUGGGAUAACUCCGGGAAACCGGGGCUAAUACCGAAUAAUUCAUUUCACCUCAUGGUGAGAUGCUGAAAGGCGGUUUCGGCUGUCACUACUAGAUGGGCCCGCGGUGCAUUAGCUAGUUGGUGGGGUAAUGGCCUACCAAGGCAACGAUGCAUAGCCGACCUGAGAGGGUGAUCGGCCACAUUGGGACUGAGACACGGCCCAAACUCCUACGGGAGGCAGCAGUAGGGAAUCUUCCACAAUGGACGAAAGUCUGAUGGAGCAACGCCGCGUGAGUGAUGAAGGUUUUCGGAUCGUAAAACUCUGUUGUAAGGGAAGAACAAGUACGUUAGUAACUGAACGUACCUUGACGGUACCUUAUUAGAAAGCCACGGCUAACUACGUGCCAGCAGCCGCGGUAAUACGUAGGUGGCAAGCGUUGUCCGGAUUUAUUGGGCGUAAAGCGCGCGCAGGUGGUUUCUUAAGUCUGAUGUGAAAGCCCACGGCUCAACCGUGGAGGGUCAUUGGAAACUGGGAGACUUGAGUGCAGAAGAGGAAAGUGGAAUUCCAAGUGUAGCGGUGAAAUGCGUAGAGAUUUGGAGGAACACCAGUGGCGAAGGCGACUUUCUGGUCUGUAACUGACACUGAGGCGCGAAAGCGUGGGGAGCAAACAGGAUUAGAUACCCUGGUAGUCCACGCCGUAAACGAUGAGUGCUAAGUGUUAGGGGGUUUCCGCCCCUUAGUGCUGCAGCUAACGCAUUAAGCACUCCGCCU